CCGCCAUAUUGUGACAGAAAUUUCCAUGUUGAGGUGAAGUUUUCGCGCUUUUUCGCCUUAUUUCCCUUAGGGCUGGAUGAACACGCGACACUAGAGUGAUCUUAAGAGCCGGGGGAUACAGAAAAGUCGAGAAAAGGGCUCAACCAGGUGUCGGGAUGGAGUCUGAGGACAGUGGAGGAGGGACAGGAGACACCUCGACCUAUCAGGUCCUGGCCGCCUCAAGGAUCACUCGUACCCAAAGCAGAUCUGUCAGUUUGAUGAGCCCUCCCUGUCCAUCCCCUUCGUGCCCUGGCAGAAGAGAAUUGCACAGUUUUGUGGGCCGCACAGCAGAUGGCCUCAUGGCCCU
Penaeus vannamei (Pacific white shrimp) is the source of this 346-nucleotide non-coding RNA. Lineage: Eukaryota; Metazoa; Arthropoda; Malacostraca; Decapoda; Penaeidae. The record is from RefSeq and is a predicted model, not a curated record.